CAUUAUACCAAUAUCCAACAUAGGCUAAUGGAUGUGAGAAUAGUCGUGACGCGAUUUUUGUCCGGUAAACAUCAUACAUUUCCAAACACCUUUUCUCGCUCUCUCGGCAGAACUUCUCCUAAGGCAGCAUUAUAUAUAGUCAAUUUUUCUCACCUGGGGGCUCUACUAGAGAAGCAUCCCAAAAAGAGGAAUUGCUCAAGAUCCCAUCUCACGAAGAGAUAUGUAGCUUCCAAAUCUUGUUGUAAAAACGCGUGUGUAAAAAAGUUUAAAUUAUCUCACCACGAUCAAUCAUCGAUUCAUCCUGGGACUGGAGGUACAAGUGAAGCAAUUGUGUUUAGUGUUGGUCAAAGAAGAAUCAUUUUUUUCUUUUUCUUAUUACACUCAAUUCAUCUCGAGAAAAUUGUGUGAAAACAAUUGAGAUUGUGUCUAGUCUCUGAGGUGUAUUAACGAAGUUCCAGUGAAGAAGAUCAUCUCUGGUGAUCUCUAAAGACAAGAAGCUCAAAAGUUUCUUAGCUCUUCUUGUCCUCUGACCACCGUCACAUCUCUAAGUCUCGUCAGUUUUAAUUUUUUUUGGUGUAUUACCUGUCUAAAUAGUAAUUCUUUUCCCAUAACUUGGAUUAUUAUUCUCUCAAUGCGGAUUACGUCAUACAGCAGAGUGGCUCGCGGUAUCUCGAUACAAACACGGUAGAACGAUAUUGUGACCAAGAAUGGAGUCUUCCAGUGCCAAAGCAGCAGUUUUGGACGUGCAAAAAUAUGAGGGACUUCUUCUGGAGCCACCCACGAAAGAUGUGGUGGAACACGAUCCAGAGGGUGCAACACAUCAGGGAGUCGAGAAGAAUGAGGAAUGGAUCAAGAAGAAAAAGACGGAAUUGACGACAACGCGACAAAUUGAGACACGUGUAAAGCGCCAAGUGAUACUCGAAGAUGGCAAGGUCGUUGAUGAUUCCGGACCAAUUGUGUCCACAAAUACCACAGAAGAUACGGAAAAGCAGGAGAGUCAGACGACAGAGAGGAAAGAUUUGGGGGAGGAUGAGCCAUCGGGGGAAGUUGUGGGGGCCAUUGAUAUGGGCAGGAAGAGUAUCAGUCUCCUGGGGCAUCCAGCAUCGCCAGAUGGCGUUGUGCGUGAGGUGAAGGAGAAGAAAAUUGUGUCACGCGAAGAGAAGGAGGAACUCCUCGAGACGGAAGAUGUUAAGCACCUCGGUGACUUUUCCGAUGAGGUUUACGUUAAGGCGGCAAAUAGUGGUGUGGACAACAUUAAAGACGUACUCUAUUCACCUGAAUCGCGACAACAAUUGGUUCCCAUUGGCUCUCGUGUUGUCCAUCAAUCGUCCAAGAGUCACAAGGUUGUGGACACUGAGGAUACGGAUCUGCAGUGUCGUGCCCAGCCGGAUGGGACACUAGUCACGGAAAAGAAACGCACAACAGAACACGAGGAGCUCUUCGACGAAGACGUACCAGCUGAAGAAGACGAUCGAUUAUCGACAGGAAGUCACGAGAAAGUUACAACGAAAGAGUCCUCUCAACGUGUGUACAAGUCACGCGAUGAACAAGCCAUUGAGGACGUAGUAGAUGGGAAAGUGGUGGCCAGAGAGAUGAAGUACGUAGCAGAGAAUCAGGAUAUCGAAAGGGAUGGACCGGCUGAGAAUCCCUCAGACUGGGACAGUCUCUCAGAUCGCAUCCGGAAGGCCAGAAGACGCGGAAAGACGCUCCUGCAGCAGCAUCGAGAAGCCAUCCUCGAUGGAGAACGCAAGGAUGCCCUAACCAAGCGUCCCCUGGACUUUGAUCAGGAGGAAGAGACACGCAAACUAGAGACCAGCAAAUGGCUGGAGAGUCACUUUGGGAGUGACUCAUCCAGGGAUUCCCGGAAUGGGGACAUGGAUAUUGAGAAUGUCGAAGUGGAGCCAACGAAGAAGACUUUCUUCAAUGUCACCAUUAAAUCCACUCCCAAUUCAACUCCUCUGUCCCACAAUCCCCAAUCCCCCGUCCAGAACAGCUUCCACUCGCUUCAACAGGCGACACCAAGUCAGAGAAUUAAGUCCCCAAGUCCCCCGGAAAAUCGUAAAUACUUCCAGGGAAUUUCCAAUUGGGCUGAACGCAAGGACACCACGCCAACUCGAGUCUUCUCCGGGAAUGCUUUCCGGGAAGAGUUGAAGGGUACAGUGGAGCGAAAUCGAAAGCUCAGGCAACCGAUAAAUGGAUCAGUUGAGCGUUUAAAUGGCGACAACUCCCAUCACUACUCCAAGAAGAUCAACACCUAUCGCAGUGGCGAGCAGGAUGAAGAUAUUGUCUACGUGGUGUCUCCCAAGAAUACCUACCACUACCGCCGGCAGUCUCCGGAGAGGCCCGUUGAGUAUGUGUACAGGGAGAAUGGAGGGUAUCACCGGGAAAUCCGCCCAAUGCCCAAUGGAGUGGCAUUUUUGCGGGAGGAGGAAGAAGAACCUGUUGAGGUGCCAGAGGAGCCACAUCCGGUGGCUCCGCAGCGAAAGAGAGCCCUCGAGCGCAAAAUGAAGAUGAUGUACCAGGCCAAUGACUUGGAGGAGCAGAAGCAAAAGAACCGUUCGGUGUCGCCGGUGAACAGUGCAAUUAGAGGCCGCUAUGGGAAGCCCUCUCCGCCUCCGCGGGCGCCAUCGCCAGCGCACAAGAACAAGGUGAGCACAGCCAUUGGGAAUUCACUGAGGAAACUCGUGGGGAAGAUAGCUGAGAGGAAGGCGAAGCUGAAGACGAAGCGUUCCAUGUCGCCACCACAGGAGCCUCCACAGCAACGUGGCGGCCACACGAAUGGCGAGUAUCAGCAAUACGACGAGUACAUCGACAGUCACAUCGAGUCAGCACCUCAGCACAUUGUCCACAGGAGCACUGUGGGCGAAAUCAGACGCGAUCGAGUGCUCGAGCGACGCGGUUCAGGUGAUAUGGAUCAACAUCAGCCCACGGGCAUGGUGAGUCCCAAGCAGCGCUUCUACCUCGGCGAGGAUCCCUACGGCAGCAGCAUCUACGGCCGUGAGAACAAAUACGACGGCGUUCAGCGUCCUGUCCAGAGAAGAUCCAGCUACAAAGUCCAUCCAGACGAUGACAUCUAUCACAAUGGCAGGAUUUACUCGCCAUAUCAGACUCAUGCUUCAACUCUGGGCAGAUUCAGUGCCUCUACAAAUCAACUUCGCUCCCCCACUUACACCACAUCCUCCCAGACUCUGCCCCGGAAGCUUGAGCACCGUCCAGCCCACUCCUCAACCAUCAACGUCUCCAUUGUCAACACAGUUGCUCCUCCAACGCAGAACACCGGUCCGGCAAAGCCCGCUCGAUCCUACAAAGCUCUCAAUCGCAGCAAGAGCUUGAAUGUCCAUGGGAUCAGCGAAACCAAUGGCACGGCCUUCAAAUCCAAUCCUCAGUUGAAUCUGAAGAGUCCGUCCAUUGUCAGCAUGAUCAGUCGCAGUCAGAGGGAUUUGCGUCCCGUAGGAGCUACGCCGGUGCGUGAAGUGGACACGCAGAAGUCACUGUUCCUGCGGGGACUUCAGGAGCAGGCACCAGAGCUCUACAGGACACUCCAUGGGGAGGAUGAACUCUCCCCGAUGCGCACGAAUUAUUCGCGAUUUUCAGUGGAAAGAGCUCCGAGGAAUGGGGAUUUGAGAACGAGAUCUCCAGUGACUAUCAACAAGGAUACAGCCAGUAUCAUCAGACGAGGAAGUUCCAGCACAGAUGACUACUCAGAGACUUACAACUACACCACACGCAACGACGAUCCGAGACGACCAAGUAUCACAAAUACCACGCAGAACUUCAGCAAAAAGACAAUUCCGGGCAAGGGAGUCGUGGAGUCUAGCAAGACAAAGUCCGUGACUACGAGUCGCUAUGUGCCAGAUCUGCACAACAGCCACCUCCUCAAUCGCCACGUGAUCGAAGUCAGGGGGAAUUCUCCCAGGCAUUGACUUUCUUUAACUUGAUCAGGGAAGGGUCUUUUUUCCUUGCAGGUCCGUGGACAAAAGUUGGGCACAGUUUCUAAUUGUUUAAAAGGUUUUAUCAGUGAUAACAAAGUAUCAGGUUCUCAGAUAUUGUGGGUAGCAUUUGUAUGCAAAUGAUCUUCAGAUUUAUUGCUCCGCAGAUCCGUUAACUCUUUCGUCUCCGACGAGAGUUCCCGUUAACUCUUUCAACGAGAGUUCCCAUGAGUUUUCCAAUUUCCCAGAGGCGGAGAAAAUUCUUUCUCAACGAAAGUAUCAUAUUUGACCACUAAGACUUACAAUAAAGUGAGUUUUACUGAAAUUCGUUCUCUGGAUACGUUGUGGUCCGGAAAGAGUUAAAUUCAUCUCACGCGUUUGAUGAUGUGAAUGAUGAUUUGGAGAGGAUCUCACACUGGGCCGACUACAAUAAUGGUCUGGUACUGAAUGCCAGUUAUUAUGUAUUUCACCUGUUCAAUAUAUUAAAUAUUAAUUCAAUUCUUGGCGCCGAUAAAACAAGAUCUUUGGAGUGAAUUCUUAGCGUCGUUAUUUUUCUCUAAGCUUUCAAGGUUUAAAUGUAACAGCCAGAAAGUCGCAGGCACUACUGGCGCUCUCGAGAGGAAGAAACCCAAUCUCCUUUCCGCUUUCCCUUUCAGAUGAAGAAAUUCCACUCUCCUCUAAGGUAAAAAAUCUAGGUGUCAUCUUUAAUGAUACACUUACUUUACGACGCGAACUUUACGAGGAUACCAAACUUACGCCCCUUUGAUUAGAGCACUUAUUGUGGCACUUUUCACCUACGGGUGUGAGUUGUUCUGCAGAACACAUGCUGAGGUGCAUAGUCGUCCGAGACUUGCAUUUAAUUCAUGUUUGCACUAUGUCUUCGGACUUCGUAAAUAUAAUCACGUGUCCGUUUAUGUUGAUUCCAUACUCGAUCUUCUACUGUCCGGUUAUUUCGAUAACCGUGUAGUGGAUUUCAUUUCCAGGAUUCUUUCGACUGGUAGGCCGCAGUACCUCGCAUACUUUUUGGUUGCUGGAUCAUCUUCCAAGGGGGGGAAUUCUGUAACUCUGUGAAGUGAUCACUUGUCAAAAUUGGUGAACGCUUCACUGAAGUGCAAUAGCAAAAGAGAUUCUCUGUAACUAGCGAUAGCUUCACGUGAAAAGAUCACUUUGAGGUAGAGAUGGUAAAAUUUCAGAAAAGUUAUGUGGUUUCACUUGCCAAUUUUUCGGUGAAGAUGAUGUUAUCACUCGGUGAAGCCCGUGAAGCCACUGAAAAAUUUUUCGAUAUUCAACUUAAAAACCAACACGACGUCUUUUGUAACACUGAAUUCUAGUGUUUUCUAUAGUUACUUAGUUGAAAUAUUGAUGAAAAUCUUAAAUUUAAGGAAAAUUGCAACACAUUUUCCCUCUUGCUUCACGCAAAGUUACAGAAUAACUUUUCUAGUAGUCGUGAAGGGAAACUCGUGAACCUUUCACUAGUGAAGCGUUCACAGAGUUACAGAAUUCCUACCCAGAUCUUCUUGCUUCAGUGUGCCUGGUUCAGAAAGGGUUGUCAUUCUCUGGAAUGCUUUGCCAAGAGAGCGAAAGAGAGGGCUUAUCUUGAGUAAUAAAAUUGCUCGUUAAUCAGGAUUUUGCGACCUUUGAGAACUGGGCUAAACUUCUAGUCUGAAGACCGCCUUAUGAUAGAAGCGCUUCAGACACUUCAGGCAGAGAAAUAAAUCAUAAUGAGAAUUAGUCAGAAAAAUUCUUAGAAGAAUAAACCAAUUUCAGUAAAAUGUGAAAAGAAAUAUCUCUGAAAUGCACGUUUUCUCUGUCAAUCAAUCCCAAACAAACUUACGCAAUCCCUGUUGCGCAAUCCUCAGAAAUCUAAACCAAAAUACCCAAAAAGCAAAGACAAAACCUCAUGGGAAAAUUAAGUGAAUGAUAUCCAUUUAUUUGAGAUAAAUAGCAAACAAAUAUAUUUUAUUUUGUUUAAAUCUACAACCUGCAAAAAAGAAUCAUAAAUUUUCUUUUAACCUGAAAGAAAAGAAACCAAAGAAACUGUGCGCAACUGGACAUGGAACUACGAGGAAAAAAAGCUGAAGGAUGGUGGAAAAAAUCUUGGUGAAAGAAUUAAAAAAAACUACUAACUGAAGAGACAUUAAAGAGAAUUAAAAAAAAAAA
This is an RNA transcript of Phlebotomus papatasi, 6089 nucleotides long. RefSeq lists it as uncharacterized. The record is from RefSeq and is a predicted model, not a curated record. NCBI's taxonomy places the organism in Eukaryota, Metazoa, Arthropoda, Insecta, Diptera, Psychodidae. The transcript has 10 exons.